AUGAAGAUUGAUAUAUCCAAGGCGUUCGACUGCCUCUCCUGGGAAUUUCUUUUGGACAUAUUGAAAGCCAGAGGCUUCGGUAGCAAGUGGUGUUCCUGGAUAUGCGGCCUUCUAAGCUCGGCGUCCUCCUCAGUGCUCAUUAACGGC
Molecule: ribosomal RNA, 147 nt
Filed under: Triticum aestivum (bread wheat)
Lineage: Eukaryota; Viridiplantae; Streptophyta; Magnoliopsida; Poales; Poaceae
Description: partial small subunit ribosomal RNA
Source: RNAcentral